RNAcentral lists this ribosomal RNA (773 nucleotides) under uncultured bacterium. RNAcentral's name for it is "bacterial SSU rRNA". It matches the Rfam family "Bacterial small subunit ribosomal RNA", at positions 8 to 798 of the family's 1533-position model. The record is from RNAcentral.
AGAGUUUGAUCCUGGCUCAGGACGAACGCUGGCGGCGUGCUUAACACAUGCAAGUCGAACGGAAAGGCCCUUCGGGGUACUCGAGUGGCGAACGGGUGAGUAACACGUGGGUGAUCUGCCCUGCACUUUGGGAUAAGCCUGGGAAGCUGGGUCUAAUACCGAAUAUGACCACGCUCUUCAUGGGGUGUGGUGGAAAGCUUUUGCGGUGUGGGAUGGGCCCGCGGCCUAUCAGCUUGUUGGUGGGGUAAUGGCCUACCAAGGCGACGACGGGUAGCCGGCCUGAGAGGGUGACCGGCCACACUGGGACUGAGAUACGGCCCAGACUCCUACGGGAGGCAGCAGUGGGGAAUAUUGCACAAUGGGCGCAAGCCUGAUGCAGCGACGCCGCGUGAGGGAUGACGGCCUUCGGGUUGUAAACCUCUUUCACCAGGGACGAAGCGCAAGUGACGGUACCUGGAGAAGAAGCACCGGCCAACUACGUGCCAGCAGCCGCGGUAAUACGUAGGGUGCGAGCGUUGUCCGGAAUUACUGGGCGUAAAGAGCUCGUAGGUGGUUUGUCGCGUUGUUCGUGAAAACUCACAGCUUAACUGUGGGCGUGCGGGCGAUACGGGCAGACUAGAGUACUGCAGGGGAGACUGGAAUUCCUGGUGUAGCGGUGGAAUGCGCAGAUAUCAGGAGGAACACCGGUGGCGAAGGCGGGUCUCUGGGCAGUAACUGACGCUGAGGAGCGAAAGCGUGGGGAGCGAACAGGAUUAGAUACCCUGGUAGUCCAA